UCUCGUGAUUCUAGCGAAGUGGACACACCUGUUCCCAUACCGAACACAGUAGUUAAGCAUUUCAGCGCCGAUGGUACCCUCCGGGGGAGAGUAGGUCAUUGCGGGGA
This 107-nucleotide ribosomal RNA is filed under the name Candidatus Moraniibacteriota bacterium. The record is from RNAcentral. Lineage: Bacteria; Candidatus Moraniibacteriota.